RNAcentral lists this ribosomal RNA (462 nucleotides) under uncultured bacterium. Its description in RNAcentral is "partial 16S ribosomal RNA". It matches the Rfam family "Bacterial small subunit ribosomal RNA", at positions 28 to 507 of the family's 1533-position model. The record is from RNAcentral.
GACGAACGCUGGCGGUGUGCUUAACACAUGCAAGUCGAACGGAAAGGCCCUUCGGGGUCCUCGAGUGGCGAACGGGUGAGUAACACGUGGGUGAUCUGCCCUGCACUUUGGGAUAAGCCUGGGAAACUGGGUCUAAUACCGAAUAGGACCACGCGCUUCAUGGUGUGUGGUGGAAAGCUUUUGCGGUGUGGGAUGGGCCCGCGGCCUAUCAGCUUGUUGGUGGGGUAAUGGCCUACCAAGGCGACGACGGGUAGCCGGCCUGAGAGGGUGACCGGCCACACUGGGACUGAGAUACGGCCCAGACUCCUACGGGAGGCAGCAGUGGGGAAUAUUGCACAAUGGGCGCAAGCCUGAUGCAGCGACGCCGCGUGAGGGAUGACGGCCUUCGGGUUGUAAACCUCUUUCAAUAGGGACGAAGCGCAAGUGACGGUACCUAUAGAAGAAGCACCGGCCAACUACGUG